Molecule: long non-coding RNA, 477 nt
Filed under: Helianthus annuus (common sunflower)
Lineage: Eukaryota; Viridiplantae; Streptophyta; Magnoliopsida; Asterales; Asteraceae
Description: hypothetical non coding rna
Source: RNAcentral
UAACUUUCACCUAGUAAAACACACACAAACACUUCCUGUCUCUCUUCAAAAUUUCGGCCAUAACUCCCCCCUCUUGUUCUUCAUCUUUAAAAAAUCUCCGAGGAUUCUAAGGGUUCUCAAGAAGAUCAAAAGGGGUUUGCAAGUGUUAGGGGUCAUCAAAGGAGCUUUUUACACAAGACUUUGGAGUAUUAUCCUUCUUCUUUCUUCAUCUAAAGAACUCAUCCCUAGCAUUGUGCUAGUAUUUGUGUUUGUUGUUGAUGUUGUUAAGAUGGUAACAAUAUGUGAAUGCCAAAUAGAAGGCAGCUCGACAACACUGAAGGCUUGGAAAAGUGGUAAUAAAGUUACCUAAAAUAAAUAGAUUUUUUAUUAAAUAAAAUAGGAUUUAUUCCUAUGAAAAUGUGUGUACUUAAAACUUGGGUUUUACCCCAUGUGUUUGAUAUUAUAAAAGUGUGGUAUUUUACUCUGAUAAAAUAUUUC